Molecule: non-coding RNA, 93 nt
Organism: Marasmius oreades (fairy-ring Marasmius)
Lineage: Eukaryota; Fungi; Basidiomycota; Agaricomycetes; Agaricales; Marasmiaceae
Source: the annotation of a RefSeq genome assembly
UCCGUUAUGGUGUAGUGGCUAACAUUAUCGCCUCUCAUCAGACUGUUACUGGUUGGUGCGCGAUAGCCCAGGGUUCGAUUCCCUGUAACGGAA